UGUUAGCUGCGCCGAACCCAGCCAAUGGCGGCCGCGGCGGACGGAAAGCCGGAAGGCCCAAGCCGCGCAGGGGCCGUUUUAGGGCUCCGGGUCUCCUGCGACCCGGGCGCCGGGAGACUUGUCCCGCAGUCCUGGAGGGCGGAGAGGGCAGCCCAGUUGCCCUCCCGACACUCCAAUCGUGUUGGAGUUAAGUCUGUGCAUAUAUAUGUCUUUAUAUUUAUAUAUUAUAUAUGUAUGUACAUACCUGGAUAGGGGUGUGUGUCUGUAUUUAAUAGGGCAGGUUUAAGCAAGUCUAUGUACAGACCUGUAUAGAUAUAUGUGUGUAUGUUCGUGCAUAAAUAUAUACAUUAUUAUUUUUAAUAGGGCAGGUUUAAGCAAGCCCGUGUAUACAUACUUGGAUAAAUGGUGUGUGCGUGUGUAUAUUUUUUUAAUAGGGCGGGUUUAAGUGAGCCUGUGUGUACAUACUUGGAUAGGUGAUUUGUGAGUAUUUUUUUUUCCAGCGUUUGGGCUACAGAGAGGCAGGCAUUUGAGCGAGCUCCCCCGAGCCUGCCCAGGAAGCGGCGCAUCACCCCUCAGGAGAGGUGGUGCCUCCAGUUCCACCCUAAGCACUGUGCCGUCAACCCCUCCUGUAUCUGCAUCUGCAGGGCUUGUAGUAUGUACGUUCAAUUCCUUCAGCAACGUUCAAUGAAUGAGUGCCUACUGUGUACCAAGCACUGUUCUAGGCACUGGAGAUACAAAAGGCCAAAAUUCCUGCCCUCAGGGUUUGCCGGCAGUCUAAAUGGACAAGUAUUUGUUGCACCCUUCUUUAGAGUCUGACAGUGCAGAGUAGGGGAGAUGAAUCGCUGCAGUGAGUGAUGUCAAAGACCUCACCCAAGACUAGGGAGACACCAUGUUUGCAUAAAUACCUUGGUCUGCCUUUGAGAAAAACAUGGAGUGAGUUAAAGGAAUUCAGAUGUGGGAGCAGUGAAAGGCAUCCGAGGUAAGAUCAGGAAAAGCUCCCUAGGGCAGGUGGCAAAUGCGGUGGGUCUGCAGAGAUGUGGAGGGUGAGGCUGUGUGUUUCAGGUCAGUAGAGUAGAAGGGCGGUUUGACGUUUGAAGAACAGGAAUUUAGACUAGAAAAAGCCUUUAAUGACUGGUUGUGGCAUGUGCACUUAAUCUGGUGAGAAAUGGGUAAGCAUUAAAUGUUUUUUCUAUCCAUUAAAUGUUUUGAACCAAAGAAAUUUUGCAGUGGGAGUUGGAUUUUUGAAGGUUGCUGUCAGCAGAAUGAUGAUUGAAAUGGAAAGAGGUAAGCAGGAGAGCUACCUGGAAACUACUGCAAUAAUCUAUAGAAAGCAGUAAAAUCCUGUGGUACUAAAAAGGCAUUGGUGAAUUAAAAGAUAGUGGAUGGAUUAGUUACGUUUCAGCAGUAGAAUAUUCAAGAGCUGCCAAAAAAUUGAAUUUAAUUUUCCUUCCUAAUUAUGUUUUACUUAAAUUAUUAUUUAAAUUAGUUGGAGUUCCUGGAGCAGCCCAA
Molecule: long non-coding RNA, 1509 nt
Filed under: Homo sapiens (human)
Lineage: Eukaryota; Metazoa; Chordata; Mammalia; Primates; Hominidae
Description: non-protein coding lnc-ATG12-5:2
Source: RNAcentral